ACACGACUACAUUAGAUACCCGCGUAGUCCUAGCCGUAAACGAUACUCGCUAGGUGUCGGCCACGGUGCGACCGUUGUCGGUGCCGUAGGGAAGCCGUGAAGCGAGCCACCUGGGAAGUACGGCCGCAAGGCUGAAACUUAAGGAAUUGGCGGGGAGCACAACAACGGGUGGAGCUUGCGGUUUAAUUGGAUUCAACGCCGGAAAUCUUACCGGGACCGACAGCAACAUGAAGGCCAAGCUGAAGACUUUGCCGGAUUAGCUG
RNAcentral lists this ribosomal RNA (263 nucleotides) under uncultured archaeon. RNAcentral's name for it is "partial 16S ribosomal RNA". It matches the Rfam family "Archaeal small subunit ribosomal RNA", at positions 717 to 982 of the family's 1478-position model. The record is from RNAcentral.